This 775-nucleotide ribosomal RNA is filed under the name uncultured Neocallimastigales. RNAcentral describes it as "partial large subunit ribosomal RNA". It matches the Rfam family "Eukaryotic large subunit ribosomal RNA", at positions 1 to 616 of the family's 3401-position model. The record is from RNAcentral. Lineage: Eukaryota; Fungi; Neocallimastigomycota; Neocallimastigomycetes; Neocallimastigales.
UUACUAGAGUAGCACUCGCAUAUCAAUAAGCGGAGGAAAAGAAACUAACAAGGAUUCCCCUAGUAACGGCGAGUGAAGCGGGAAGAGCUCAAAUUUGAAAUCUUAAAGGGUCUCCCUUUACGAAUUGUAGUUUAAAGAAGUGUUUUCUGUUGAGGUUUUGGUAAAAGUUCUUUGGAAUAGGACAUCAUAGAGGGUGAGAAUCCCGUAUUUGACCUUUACUUUCAACUUUGUGAUACACUUUCAAAGAGUCGGAUUGUUUGGGAAUGCAGUCCAAAAUGGGUGGUAAAUUUCAUCUAAAGCUAAAUAUUGGCGAGAGACCGAUAGCGAACAAGUACCGUGAGGGAAAGAUGAAAAGAACUUUGAAAAGAGAGUUAAACAGUACGUGAAAUUGUCAGAAGGGAAGCGUUUGACACCAGUGUUGUUUUUCUGAAAAUCAAUUAAAGAACUGUUUAUGCUAAGCUGUUUAGACUUUAUCAGCUAUCUGUUUAGUUUUGAGCUUUUCUUUAAUGCACUUUUCAGUUAACAAGUCAACAUCAAUUUCCUUUGCUGUAAAAAAGCUUGAGGAAGGUGGCUUGAGAUUCGUCUUAAGUGUUUAUAGCCUCUUGCCUAUGCAGUCGGAGAGAUUGAGGUCUGCAGCGUAGAUCCUUCGGGGCUAAAUGCAUUUGUGCUAAGUUAUAGCAUUUUAUAGACAACUUGUUGACUAUGAUUUGUCUUGUAGCUUACUCGCUUAUGUUAUUUUACCUACGCUUAGGAUGUUGAGCGCAUGUCUCUCUCU